This 362-nucleotide ribosomal RNA is filed under the name uncultured bacterium. Its description in RNAcentral is "partial 16S ribosomal RNA". It matches the Rfam family "Bacterial small subunit ribosomal RNA", at positions 338 to 697 of the family's 1533-position model. The record is from RNAcentral.
CCUACGGGUGGCUGCAGUGAGGAAUAUUGGGCAAUGGACGGAAGUCUGAACCAGCAAUGCCGCGUGCAGGAAGACGGCUCUAUGAGUUGUAAACUGCUUUUGUACAAGGGUAAACCUGAAAACGUGUAUUCAACCGAAAGGACUGUACGAAUCAGGAUCGGCUAAGUCAGUACCAGCAGCCGCGGUAAUACGGAGAAUCCAAGCGUUAUCGGGAUUUAUUGGGUUUAAAGGGUGCGUAGGCGGUUUGAUAAGUUAGAGGUGAAAUGUCCGAGCUCAACUCGGGAACGUCCUCUCAUACUGUUGAUCUAGAGAGUAGAUGCGGUAGGCGGAAUGUAUGGUGUAGCGGUGAAAUGCUUAGAGAU